AUGCAGAGCAACGCUGAUACAUAAAAAAAGUACCAACCGUUGACGUGUUCUUUUUAACUAGCCUUGUGAAGAAAGCAGCAUGGUCAGGGCGGUUUGCUCCAAAACCUACGUAAGUCCUCGUCGUCCUUUUGAAAAGGCGCGUUUAGAUCAGGAAUUAAAGUUAAUUGGAGAAUAUGGUCUCAGAAAUAAACGAGAAGUUUGGCGUGUUAAGUAUUGCUUAGCUAAAAUUAGGAAAAGAGCCAGAGAUUUGCUAACCCUUCCAGAAAAAGAUGCACGUCGUCUGUUUGAAGGAAAUGCUUUACUUCGACGCCUUGUUCGUAUUGGAGUACUUGAUGAAGGAAGAAUGAAGCUAGAUUAUGUUUUAGGUUUAAAAGUAGAAGAUUUUUUGGAAAGACGUCUACAAACUCAAGUGUUUAAGUUGGGUCUCGCUAAGUCUAUUCACCAUGCUCGUGUUCUUAUCCGACAAAAGCAUAUUAGAGUGCGAAAGCAGUUAGUUAACAUCCCAUCAUUUAUCGUGAGACUUGACUCUCAAAAGCACAUAGAUUUCAGUACUAAUUCACCAUUCGGUGGUGGUCGACCAGGACGUGUUUCAAGAAAAAACAUGAAGAAAGGUGGCAGUGGAGGAAACGAUGAAGAAGACGAAGAUGAAUAGACGUUCAAGCAUUUCAUCAGCUUCAUAACUAAAGGGUCACUACAUUACUAAGCAUUAUUUGCUUGUAUAUGUACAUCCUUAUUUGCUUCAUAACUGAAAUUGUUGUUAGUUUAGCAAAGAUUAUAUUGAAAUCUGGCAUGUGAUUGUUUUGUUAGGCGGUUAAUAAAGAUCAUUUGUCAAAUAAAUCUAAAUACUGUACAACAAA
Molecule: RNA transcript, 857 nt
Organism: Hydra vulgaris (swiftwater hydra)
Lineage: Eukaryota; Metazoa; Cnidaria; Hydrozoa; Anthoathecata; Hydridae
Gene name: small ribosomal subunit protein uS4
Source: RefSeq, a predicted model, not a curated record